AUUGAACGCUGGCGGCAUGCCUUACACAUGCAAGUCGAACGGUAAUAGGUCUUCGGAUGCUGACGAGUGGCGAACGGGUGAGUAAUACAUCGGAACGUGCCUAGUAGUGGGGGAUAACUACUCGAAAGAGUGGCUAAUACCGCAUGAGAUCUACGGAUGAAAGCAGGGGAUCGCAAGACCUUGUGCUACUAAAGCGGCCGAUGGCAGAUUAGGUAGUUGGUGGGAUAAAAGCUUACCAAGCCGACGAUCUGUAGCUGGUCUGAGAGGACGAUCAGCCACACUGGGACUGAGAAACGGCCCAGACUCCUACGGGAGGCAGCAGUGGGGAAUUUUGGACAAUGGGCGCAAGCCUGAUCCAGCAAUGCCGCGUGCAGGAUGAAGGCCCUCGGGUUGUAAACUGCUUUUGUACGGAACGAAAAGCCCCGGGUUAAUACCCUGGGGUCAUGACGGUACCGUAAGAAUAAGCACCGGCUAACUACGUGCCAGCCGCCGCCGUAA
This 498-nucleotide ribosomal RNA is filed under the name uncultured bacterium. Its description in RNAcentral is "partial 16S ribosomal RNA". It matches the Rfam family "Bacterial small subunit ribosomal RNA", at positions 30 to 523 of the family's 1533-position model. The record is from RNAcentral.